UUGAACGCUGGCGGCAUGCCUAACACAUGCAAGUCGAACGGCAGCGCGGGCUUCGGCCUGGCGGCGAGUGGCGGACGGGUGAGGAAUACAUAGGAAUCUGCCCAGUCGUGGGGGAUAACCCGGGGAAACCCGGACUAAUACCGCAUACGACGGUGACGUGAAAGCCGGGGACCUUCGGGCCUGGCGCGAUUGGAUGAGCCUAUGUCGGAUUAGCUAGUUGGCGGGGUAAAGGCCCACCAAGGCGACGAUCCGUAGCUGGUCUGAGAGGAUGAUCAGCCACACUGGGACUGAGACACGGCCCAGACUCCUACGGGAGGCAGCAGUGGGGAAUAUUGGACAAUGGGCGCAAGCCUGAUCCAGCAAUGCCGCGUGGGUGAAGAAGGCCUUCGGGUUGUAAGGCCCUUUUGUACGGGAAGAAAUCAUCCGGGUUAAUACCCUGGGUGGAUGACGGUACCGUAAGAAUAAGCACCGGCUAACUUCGUGC
RNAcentral lists this ribosomal RNA (484 nucleotides) under uncultured bacterium. Its description in RNAcentral is "bacterial SSU rRNA". It matches the Rfam family "Bacterial small subunit ribosomal RNA", at positions 29 to 508 of the family's 1533-position model. The record is from RNAcentral.